GAGUUUGAUCCUGGCUCAGGACGAACGCUGGCGGCGUGCUUAACACAUGCAAGUCGAACGGUAAGGCCCCAGCUUGCUGGGGUACACGAGUGGCGAACGGGUGAGUAACACGUGGGUGACCUACCCUGCACUUCGGGAUAAGCCUGGGAAACUGGGUCUAAUACCGGAUAGGACUACACCGUGAGGGUGUGGUGGAAAGUUUUUCGGUGCAGGAUGGGCCCGCGGCCUAUCAGCUUGUUGGUGGGGUAAUGGCCUACCAAGGCGGCGACGGGUAGCCGGCCUGAGAGGGUGGACGGCCACAUUGGGACUGAGACACGGCCCAGACUCCUACGGGAGGCAGCAGUGGGGAAUAUUGCACAAUGGGCGGAAGCCUGAUGCAGCGACGCCGCGUGGGGGAUGACGGCCUUCGGGUUGUAAACUCCUUUCACCAUCGACGAAGGUUUUCUGACGGUAGAUGGAGAAGAAGCACCGGCUAACUACGUGCCAGCAGCCGCGGUAAUACGUAGGGUGCGAGCGUUGUCCGGAAUUACUGGGCGUAAAGAGCUCGUAGGUGGUUUGUCGCGUCGUCUGUGAAAUUCCGGGGCUUAACUCCGGGCGUGCAGGCGAUACGGGCAUAACUUGAGUACUGUAGGGGAGACUGGAAUUCCUGGUGUAGCGGUGAAAUGCGCAGAUAUCAGGAGGAACACCGGUGGCGAAGGCGGGUCUCUGGGCAGUAACUGACGCUGAGGAGCGAAAGCAUGGGUAGCGAACAGGAUUAGAUACCCUGGUAGUCCAUGCCGUAAACGGUGGGCGCUAGGUGUAGGGGUCUUCCACGACUUCUGUGCCGUAGCUAACGCAUUAAGCGCCCCGCCUGGG
Molecule: ribosomal RNA, 855 nt
Filed under: uncultured bacterium
Lineage: Bacteria
Description: bacterial SSU rRNA
Rfam family: Bacterial small subunit ribosomal RNA
Source: RNAcentral